GGGGAAUUUUGGACAAUGGGCGCAAGCCUGAUUCAGCCAUGCCGCGUGCAGGAUGAAGGCCUUCGGGUUGUAAACUGCUUUUGUACGGAACGAAAAGACUCUGUUUAAUACCUGGGGUCCAUGACGGUACCGUAAGAAUAAGCACCGGCUAACUACGUGCCAGCAGCCGCGGUAAUACGUAGGGUGCGAGCGUUAAUCGGAAUUACUGGGCGUAAAGCGUGCGCAGGCGGUUAUGUAAGACAGAUGUGAAAUCCCCGGGCUCAACCUGGGAACUGCCAUUGUGACUGCAAAGCUAGAGUGCGGCAGAGGGGGAUGGAAUUCCGCGUGUAGCAGUGAAAUGCGUAGAUAUGCGAAGGAACACCGAUGGCGAAGGCAAUCCCCUGGGCCUGAACUGACGCUCAUGCACGAAAGCGUGGGGAGCAAACA
This 426-nucleotide ribosomal RNA is filed under the name uncultured bacterium. RNAcentral describes it as "bacterial SSU rRNA". It matches the Rfam family "Bacterial small subunit ribosomal RNA", at positions 356 to 774 of the family's 1533-position model. The record is from RNAcentral.